This 88-nucleotide non-coding RNA is filed under the name Vibrio ponticus. RNAcentral describes it as "c-di-GMP sequence". It matches the Rfam family "c-di-GMP-I riboswitch aptamer". Rfam says of the family: GEMM was predicted in a large-scale screen for bacterial structured RNA regulatory elements. Lineage: Bacteria; Pseudomonadati; Pseudomonadota; Gammaproteobacteria; Vibrionales; Vibrionaceae. The record is from RNAcentral.
UCACACUUUCGGCAAACCAUUUGAAAAAAUGGGACGCAAAGCUUCCGGUCUAAAGAUGCUGGUCAUCAAUGAUAGCGGGGUCGCCACU